This 331-nucleotide unclassified non-coding RNA is filed under the name soil metagenome. Its description in RNAcentral is "partial contains 5.8S ribosomal RNA, internal transcribed spacer 2, and large subunit ribosomal RNA". The stretch from base 1 to 120 matches the Rfam family "5.8S ribosomal RNA", at positions 35 to 154 of the family's 154-position model. The record is from RNAcentral.
GAUGAAGAACGCAGCGAAAUGCGAUACGUAAUGUAAAUUGCAGAAUUCAGUGAAUCAUCGAGUCUUUGAACGCACAUUGCGCCCCCUGGUAUUCCGGGGGGCAUGCCUGUUCGAGCGUCAUUUCACCACUCAAGCCUCGCUUGGUAUUGGGCAACGCGGUCCGCCGCGUGCCUCAAAUCGACCGGCUGGGUCUUCUGUCCCCUAAGCGUUGUGGAAACUAUUCGCUAAAGGGUGUUCGGGAGGCUACGCCGUAAAACAACCCCAUUUCUAAGGUUGACCUCGGAUCAGGUAGGGAUACCCGCUGAACUUAAGCAUAUCAAUAAGCGGAGGA